AGCUAAACGUUCUCGUAUCAUCGAACUCUAUCGCGGGUUGAGGCAUAGAGGUCCUGAUUGGAGUGGAGUCCAUUGUUAUGAAUAUUGUUAUCUUGCUCAUGGGCAUUUAGCCAUCAUUGACCCAACUUCUGGAGACCAACCGCUCUAUAUCAAAGACAAGACCAUCGUUGUCACGGUCAAUGGAGAGAUAUACAACCACAAGGUUUUGCGUGAAAAGCUCAAGUCUCAUCAAUUCCACACUGGUAGCGACUGUGAAGUGAUUACACACCUUGUAAGUAUGUGUAAUUGAGAAAAGACUGAAUUGUUGCUUAUGGAUUACUAUCUGCUGUACCUUUUUGCUUAUUGCCAGUUAGUGAAAAUGUAACUGAGCAUAUUUAUUGUUGCAUUUUGGUCUGUCUUGCAGUACGAAGAACAUAAAGAAUACGUCAUUUUGGUCUGUGUAAAAUGACUUAUAACAUUAUUUUAAAAAAUUAAAAAAACCUGAUAACAAUAUGGUAGAAGACUCUAUCAUAGCAUAUUUAUACGACGCUAUUGUAUGUGUGAUAUCUACGAUAACAGUGAUCUAACAUAGCGUUUGUGAAAAAGUUAUGAAUGACCUAUUAUAGCAUUUUUCUACUGCUA
Camelina sativa (false flax) is the source of this 621-nucleotide non-coding RNA. Lineage: Eukaryota; Viridiplantae; Streptophyta; Magnoliopsida; Brassicales; Brassicaceae. The record is from RefSeq and is a predicted model, not a curated record.